AUACAUGCAGUCGAGCGGACAGAUGGGAGCUUGCUCCCUGAUGUUAGCGGCGGACGGGUGAGUAACACGUGGGUAACCUACCUUUAAGACUGGGAUAACUCCGGGAAACCGGGGCUAAUACCGGAUAAUAUCUUUCUUUGCAUAAAGAGAGAUUGAAAGAUGGCUUUUCGCUAUCACUUAUAGAUGGACCCGCGGCGCAUUAGCUAGUUGGUGAGGUAACGGCUCACCAAGGCGACGAUGCGUAGCCGACCUGAGAGGGUGAUCGGCCACACUGGGACUGAGACACGGCCCAGACUCCUACGGGAGGCAGCAGUAGGGAAUCUUCCGCAAUGGACGAAAGUCCUGACGGAGCAACGCCGCGUGAGUGAAUGAAGGUUUUCGGAUCGUAAAGCUCUGUUGUUAAGGAAGAACAAGUAUCGUUCGAAUAGGGCGGUACCUUGACGGUACCUAACCCAGAAAGCCACGGCUAACUACGUGCCAGCAGCCGCGGUAAUACGUAGGUGGCAAGCGUUGUCCAGGAAUUAUUGGGGCGUAAAGCGCGCGCAGGCGGUCUCUUAAGUCUGAUGUGAAAGCCCACGGCUCAACCGUGGAGGGUCAUUGGAAACUGGGGGACUUGAGUGCAGAAGAGGAAAGUGGAAUUCCACGUGUAGCGGUGAAAUGCGUAGAUAUGUGGAGGAACACCAGUGGCGAAGGCGACUUUCUGGUCUGUAACUGACGCUGAGGCGCGAAAGCGUGGGGAGCAAACAGAGAUAUAGAUACCCUGGUAGUCCACGCCGUAAACGAUGAGUGCUAAGUGUUAGGGGGGUUUCCCGCCCCUUAGUGCUGCAGCUAACGCAUUAAGCACUCCGCCUGGGGAGUACGGUCGCAAGACUGAAACUCAAAGGAAUUGACGGGGGCCCGCACAAGCGGUGGAGCAUGUGGUUUUAAUUCGAAGCAACGCGAAGAACCUUACCAGGUCUUGACAUCCUCUGCUACCUCUAGAGAUAGAGGGUUCGCCCUUCGGGGGACAGAGUGACAGGUGGUGGCAUGGUUGUCGUCAGCUCGUGUCGUGAGAUGUUGGGUUAAGUCCCGCAACGAGCGCAACCCUUGAUCUUAGUUGCCAGCAUUCAGUUGGGCACUCUAAGAUGACUGCCGGUGACAAACCGGAGGAAGGUGGGGAUGACGUCAAAUCAUCAUGCCCCUUAUGACCUGGGCUACACACGUGCUACAAUGGACGGUACAAAGGGCAGCAAGACCGCGAGGUUUAGCCAAUCCCAUAAAACCGUUCUCAGUUCGGAUUGUAGGCUGCAACUCGCCUACAUGAAGCUGGAAUCGCUAGUAAUCGCGGAUCAGCAUGCCGCGGUGAAUACGUUCCCGGGCCUUGUACACACCGCCCGUCACACCACGAGAGUUUGUAACACCCGAAGUCGGUGGGGUAACCUUUUAGGGCCAGCCGCCUAAG
This 1441-nucleotide ribosomal RNA is filed under the name Bacillus seohaeanensis. RNAcentral's name for it is "16S ribosomal RNA". It matches the Rfam family "Bacterial small subunit ribosomal RNA". The record is from RNAcentral. Lineage: Bacteria; Bacillati; Bacillota; Bacilli; Caryophanales; Bacillaceae.